Molecule: unclassified non-coding RNA, 434 nt
Filed under: Hevea brasiliensis (rubber tree)
Lineage: Eukaryota; Viridiplantae; Streptophyta; Magnoliopsida; Malpighiales; Euphorbiaceae
Source: RNAcentral
UUAAUUUUGCAUUUGGUCUCCUCUUUGACGGUUCAACCUUGCACACUGAUAGCCCAAAAUCAGGUAUGCCACCACAUAGAUUUUUAUUUCCUGCCACAAAGGUAGCACUAGAAUUCUUGAAAACUCCUUGUACUGGUACCAUUCCCUCAAAAUCAUUAUAGGACAAAUCCAAAAGCUGUAUUUUGAAGCCCUCUAAAAACUCUGGAAUCAUGCCUGACAAAUUAUUAUGAGAAAUAUUUAACUCUCUAAUGCCUCUUAAUAAACCGAAAGAGGAAGGAAUGGACCCUUGGAACGAGUUGGCACCCAAGUAUAACAAUUCUAGACUUGUACAACUGCCAAGGCCACUGGGAAUCUCCCCUGACAACAUGUUGUCAGCAAGGUCAAGGAUCCCUAGAUUUUUCAAAUUUUCUACUUCUUUUGGAAGGGAACAAGAC